Molecule: ribosomal RNA, 254 nt
Filed under: uncultured bacterium
Lineage: Bacteria
Description: partial 16S ribosomal RNA
Rfam family: Bacterial small subunit ribosomal RNA
Source: RNAcentral
UACGUAGGGGGCAAGCGUUGUCCGGAAUCAUUGGGCGUAAAGCGCGUGUAGGCGGUUCUGUAAGUCUGCUGUGAAAGUCCAGGGCUCAACCCUGGGAUGCCGGUGGAUACUGCAGGGCUAGAGUACGGAAGAGGCGAGUGGAAUUCCCGGUGUAGCGGUGAAAUGCGCAGAUAUCAGGAGGAACACCGGUGGCGAAGGCGGGUCUCUGGGCCGAAAAUUGACGCUGAGGAGCGAAAGCGUGGGGAGCAAACAGG